CCUACGGGUGGCUGCAGUGGGGAAUAUUGGACAAUGGGGGGAACCCUGAUCCAGCCAUGCCGCGUGUGUGAAGAAGGCCCUCGGGUUGUAAAGCACUUUCAGUGAGGAAGAACGCCUGGUGGUUAAUACCCAUCAGGAAAGACAUCACUCACAGAAGAAGCACCGGCUAACUCCGUGCCAGCAGCCGCGGUAAUACGGAGGGUGCGAGCGUUAAUCGGAAUUACUGGCGUAAAGCGCGCGUAGGUGGCUUGAUAAGCCGGUUGUGAAAGCCCCGGGCUCAACCUGGGAACGGCAUCCGGAACUGUCAAGCUAGAGUGCAGGAGAGGAAGGUAGAAUUCCCGGUGUAGCGGUGAAAUGCGUAGAGAUCGGGAGGAAUACCAGUGGCGAAGGCGGCCUUCUGGACUGACACUGACACUGAGGUGCGAAAGCGUGGGUAGCAAACAGGAUUAGAUACCCCUGUAGUC
Molecule: ribosomal RNA, 464 nt
Filed under: Vreelandella stevensii
Lineage: Bacteria; Pseudomonadati; Pseudomonadota; Gammaproteobacteria; Oceanospirillales; Halomonadaceae
Description: partial 16S ribosomal RNA
Rfam family: Bacterial small subunit ribosomal RNA
Source: RNAcentral